Molecule: ribosomal RNA, 498 nt
Filed under: uncultured bacterium
Lineage: Bacteria
Description: bacterial SSU rRNA
Rfam family: Bacterial small subunit ribosomal RNA
Source: RNAcentral
GUUGAACGCUGGCGGCAUGCCUUACACAUGCAAGUCGAACGGCAGCACGGACUUCGGUCUGGUGGCGAGUGGCGAACGGGUGAGUAAUGUAUCGGAACGUACCUUUCAGUGGGGGAUAACGUAGCGAAAGUUACGCUAAUACCGCAUAUUCUGUGAGCAGGAAAGCAGGGGAUCGCAAGACCUUGCGCUGAUUGAGCGGCCGAUAUCAGAUUAGCUAGUUGGUGAGGUAAAGGCUCACCAAGGCGACGAUCUGUAGCGGGUCUGAGAGGAUGAUCCGCCACACUGGAACUGAGACACGGUCCAGACUCCUACGGGAGGCAGCAGUGGGGAAUUUUGGACAAUGGGGGCAACCCUGAUCCAGCCAUGCCGCGUGAGUGAAGAAGGCCCUCGGGUUGUAAAGCUCUUUCGGCCGGGAAGAAAUCGCAUGGGCUAAUACCCUGUGCGGAUGACGGUACCGGCAUAAGAAGCACCGGCUAACUACGUGCCAGCAGCCGACGG